UAUCAUAUUUGUUUUAUUUGCUGUUAUUACACUUUAUACAUUGACAGUCAUGUUGUGCUGUGCUGUUGGUUGUACUAACGGGCCAUCCCAGAGAAGCUCUGUGCAGUUUUUUUUCGUUUUCCUUUAGGUGUGCAGCAUGCAGACAGACUGAGACGAUGGCUGGUGAACAUAAGACGACAAGACUGGGAGCCCAGCAAGUCAUCUCAUCUCUGUAGUCUUCAUUUUGAAGACCAUGAAUUCACCAUUGAUACCUAUGGGAAUCGUCUGACUUGCACUGCAGUACCAACUGUGUUAUCCCUUCCUGACCACCUGGUGAAGAGACCUGCUAGUAGAAAG
Molecule: long non-coding RNA, 336 nt
Organism: Sardina pilchardus (European sardine)
Lineage: Eukaryota; Metazoa; Chordata; Actinopteri; Clupeiformes; Clupeidae
Exons: 3
Source: RefSeq, a predicted model, not a curated record